Molecule: transfer RNA, 96 nt
Filed under: Pyrobaculum arsenaticum
Lineage: Archaea; Thermoproteati; Thermoproteota; Thermoprotei; Thermoproteales; Thermoproteaceae
Also listed under: 2 other names
Description: tRNA-Cys
Rfam family: tRNA
About the family: Transfer RNA (tRNA) molecules are approximately 80 nucleotides in length. Their secondary structure includes four short double-helical elements and three loops (D, anti-codon, and T loops).
Source: RNAcentral
GCCCCGGUAGCUCAGUCCGGCAGAGUGCGAGAGUUGCACCCGGAGAGCGGCGGGCUGCAGACCCGUAGGUCCCGGGUUCAAAUCCCGGCCGGGGCU